Molecule: ribosomal RNA, 964 nt
Filed under: Atopobium sp.
Lineage: Bacteria; Bacillati; Actinomycetota; Coriobacteriia; Coriobacteriales; Atopobiaceae
Description: partial 23S ribosomal RNA
Rfam family: Bacterial large subunit ribosomal RNA
Source: RNAcentral
AAAUUCCUUGUCGGGUAAGUUCCGACCCGCACGAAAGGUGUAACGACUUGGGCACUGUCUCAACGAGGGACCCGGUGAAAUUGAAGUACCUGUGAAGAUGCAGGUUACCCGCGACUGGACAGAAAGCCCCCAUGGAGCUUUACUGCAACCUAAGAUUGAACUUAGUUAAUGAAUGUACAGGAUAGGUGGGAGACGUAGAAUCUAGGACGCCAGUUUUAGAGGAGUCGCUGUUGGGAUACCACCCUUUCAUUAAUUGAUUUCUAACGGGCCGAGUAACGACCGGCCGGACAGUCUUAGGCGGGCAGUUUGACUGGGGCGGUCGCCUCCAAAAGAGUAACGGAGGCGCCCAAAGGUUCCCUCAGAAUGGUUGGAAAUCAUUUGCAGAGUGUAAAGGCACAAGGGAGCUUGACUGUGAGACAUACAAGUCGAGCAGGUGCGAAAGCAGGACUUAGUGAUCCGGUGGUUCCGCAUGGAAGGGCCAUCGCUCAACGGAUAAAAGCUACCCUGGGGAUAACAGGCUUAUCUCCCCCAAGAGUUCACAUCGACGGGGAGGUUUGGCACCUCGAUGUCGGCUCAUCGCAUCCUGGGGCUGUAGUCGGUCCCAAGGGUUGGGCUGUUCGCCCAUUAAAGCGGUACGCGAGCUGGGUUCAGAACGUCGUGAGACAGUUCGGUCCCUAUCCGUCGCGGGCGUAGGAAAUUUGAGAGGAUCUGCUCCUAGUACGAGAGGACCAGAGUGGACUUACCGCUGGUGUACCAGUUGUCUUGCCAAAGGCAUCGCUGGGUAGCUAUGUAGGGAAGGGAUAAACGCUGAAAGCAUCUAAGUGUGAAACCCACCUCAAGAUGAGAUUUCCCAUGAUUUUAUAUCAGUAAGAGCCCUGAGAGAUGAUCAGGUAGAUAGGUUAGAAGUGGAAGUGUGGCGACACAUGUAGCGGACUAAUACUAAUAGCUCGAGGACUUAUCCAAA